Molecule: small nucleolar RNA, 78 nt
Organism: Phocoena sinus (vaquita)
Lineage: Eukaryota; Metazoa; Chordata; Mammalia; Artiodactyla; Phocoenidae
Source: Ensembl
UUCGUUAUGUGACCAAAGUUUUGGUCACAGAUCAAGAAUGAGACAUGGGGGAGCCAACCUUGGAGAGCUGAGCGUAAA